AAAGUCGUAACAAGGUAACCGUAGGUGAACCUGCGGUUGGAUCAUUAUCAAAUAUAAAACAACAGAGCGUAGAACGGUCUAGAACCGUUUGAGACUCUGUCCCUUAACGGGGUUUGGGGUCCCGCAAUGAAUCCUUCGUAACACGAGGAAACGUUGCAGGGCCACUAGAAAAACAUACUGUGAACUGUUUUUGUCUCUGGCGGCUGGGUGGUCUCAAACACCACCUGUCAGCCAACAAACAUGGGCGUGUCAAACGUCCAAGUUUGUCGGCCGUGGACAAGCCGCCAAAAGCUUAGUGGGGACCUCCUCCGCGGGGCACCCACGAAAAACUAUUUUCUGUUUAGUUGACUGAUCUACAAUACGAAAAGUAAUGUGAAAAAAACAACUUUUGGCAACGGAUCUCUUGGCUCUC
RNAcentral lists this unclassified non-coding RNA (412 nucleotides) under Chytridiomycota sp. RNAcentral describes it as "partial contains small subunit ribosomal RNA, internal transcribed spacer 1, and 5.8S ribosomal RNA". The stretch from base 1 to 47 matches the Rfam family "Eukaryotic small subunit ribosomal RNA", at positions 1785 to 1831 of the family's 1831-position model. The record is from RNAcentral. Lineage: Eukaryota; Fungi; Chytridiomycota.